UUUCCUAGAGAUGGAUUGGUGGCCUUCGGGAACGUCUGACACAGGUGCUGCAUGGCUGUCGUCAGCUCGUGUCGUGAGAUGUUGGGUUAAGUCCCGUAACGAGCGCAACCCUUGUCCUUAGUUACCAGCACGUUAUGGUGGGCACUCUAAGGAGACUGCCGGUGCAAACCGGAGGAAGGUGGGGAUGACGUCAAGUCAUCAUGGCCUUACGGCCUGGGCUACACACGUGCUACAAUGGUCGGUACAAAGGGUUGCCAAGCCGCGAAGUGGAGCUAAUCCCAUAAAACCGAUCGUAGUCCGGAUCGCAGUCUGCAACUCGACUGCGUGAAGUCGGAAUCGCUAGUAAUCGUGAAUCAGAAUGUCACGGUGAAUACGUUCCCGGGCCUU
Molecule: ribosomal RNA, 387 nt
Filed under: uncultured Pseudomonas sp.
Lineage: Bacteria; Pseudomonadati; Pseudomonadota; Gammaproteobacteria; Pseudomonadales; Pseudomonadaceae
Description: bacterial SSU rRNA
Rfam family: Bacterial small subunit ribosomal RNA
Source: RNAcentral